GAUGAACGCUGGCGGCGUGCCUAAUACAUGCAAGUCGAGCGAAUGGAUUAAGAGCUUGCUCUUAUGAAGUUAGCGGCGGACGGGUGAGUAACACGUGGGUAACCUGCCCAUAAGACUGGGAUAACUCCGGGAAACCGGGGCUAAUACCGGAUAACAUUUUGAACCGCAUGGUUCGAAAUUGAAGGCGGCUUCGGCUGUCACUUAUGGAUGGACCCGCGUCGCAUUAGCUAGUUGGUGAGGUAACGGCUCACCAAGGCAACGAUGCGUAGCCGACCUGAGAGGGUGAUCGGCCACGCUGGGACUGAGACACGGCCCAGACUCCUACGGGAGGCAGAAGUAGGGAAUCUUCCGCAAUGGACGAAAGUCUGACGGAGUAACGCCGCGUGAGUGAUGAAGGCUUUCGGGUCGUAAAACUCUGUUGUUAGGGAAGAACAAGUGCUAGUUGAAUAAGCUGACACCUUGACGGUACCUAACCAGAAAGCCACGGCUAACUACGUGCCAGCCGCCGCGGUAA
This 514-nucleotide ribosomal RNA is filed under the name uncultured bacterium. Its description in RNAcentral is "partial 16S ribosomal RNA". It matches the Rfam family "Bacterial small subunit ribosomal RNA", at positions 28 to 523 of the family's 1533-position model. The record is from RNAcentral.